UGGCUCAGUUGGUAGAGCAUGGUGUGUGCAACACCAGAGUUGUGGGUUUGAUUCCCAU
Salmo salar (Atlantic salmon) is the source of this 58-nucleotide non-coding RNA. Lineage: Eukaryota; Metazoa; Chordata; Actinopteri; Salmoniformes; Salmonidae. The record is from Rfam.